This is a long non-coding RNA of Salvia hispanica, 693 nucleotides long. RefSeq lists it as uncharacterized. The record is from RefSeq and is a predicted model, not a curated record. Lineage: Eukaryota; Viridiplantae; Streptophyta; Magnoliopsida; Lamiales; Lamiaceae.
ACUCAAAAUUAAUUCAAGAGAAUUUUAUCUCGAGCGAUUAAUUCAAUCAUAAAUAAUGAAUUCCAAAUAAGGACUAAUUAAUUUUAGUCUAACACUCAUUUGAUAUUUGAAAGGCCCAAAAGUCAAGGGAGCAAAAUCAUUAUUUCAAUUACCUACUGAGUCAAACUAGCUGCUAUACGUAACUUCUUUCUGAUCAUCAUUUAUCUCUAUUCUCUUCCUAACUCUCUCUCUCUCUUUCUUUUUCUUUUCUAAAUUUUCGCCACACAAGGUGCAGCCUCGAGUUUCUUCACGAUCGGGAAUUCAAACAACAUCCGAUUGUCACGAAAUUUUAACCAAAGGUAGAAGACUCAUAAAGGAUCAUUCUUACCGAAGGAGAUCAAAUUUUAACGGUUAGAUUUUCCAGAAAUAAUUUCGGAAGUGGCUGUCGGUUUCUACAGUAGCAGCGUCGAUUUUCUAUACGAUCGGGGGUUCAAACGUAGUCCGAUCGUUCUGAAAUUUUAAAGGAAGGAAGUUGGGGUUUCCUGAAGAUAGAAUACUAGCUUUGCGAAGAAACUUUAGCUCAUUUUUGUAACAUCAUAAAUUAGAUAUAAUUAAUACAUUUCUCAUUUGAAGAGAAAUGACUAUAUUCUGUAAAUAGACAUUUAAUAUCCCUCUGCUUUAUAAAUGUACAUGGACAAUUAUUUUAUCGUUUCA